This 253-nucleotide ribosomal RNA is filed under the name uncultured bacterium. RNAcentral describes it as "partial 16S ribosomal RNA". It matches the Rfam family "Bacterial small subunit ribosomal RNA", at positions 524 to 776 of the family's 1533-position model. The record is from RNAcentral.
UACGUAGGGUGCAAGCGUUGUCCGGAAUUAUUGGGCGUAAAGAGCUCGUAGGCGGUCUGUCGCGUCUGCUGUGAAAACUCGGGGCUUAACCCCGGGCCUGCAGUGGGUACGGGCAGACUAGAGUGCGGUAGGGGAGACUGGAAUUCCUGGUGUAGCGGUGAAAUGCGCAGAUAUCAGGAGGAACACCGGUGGCGAAGGCGGGUCUCUGGGCCGUUACUGACGCUGAGGAGCGAAAGCGUGGGGAGCGAACGGG